Molecule: ribosomal RNA, 253 nt
Filed under: uncultured bacterium
Lineage: Bacteria
Description: partial 16S ribosomal RNA
Rfam family: Bacterial small subunit ribosomal RNA
Source: RNAcentral
UACGUAGGGGGCGAGCGUUGUCCGGAUUCAUUGGGCGUAAAGCGCGCGUAGGCGGCUUCGCAAGUCGGCCGUGAAAUCUCCGGGCUCAACUCGGAGGGGUCGGGCGAGACUGCGAGGCUCGAGGUGGGCAGAGGGCAGUGGAAUUCCGGGUGUAGUGGUGGAAUGCGUAGAGAUCCGGAGGAACACCAGUGGCGAAGGCGGCUGCCUGGGCCUGGCCUGACGCUGAGGCGCGAAAGCGUGGGGAGCAAACAGG